Molecule: ribosomal RNA, 253 nt
Filed under: uncultured bacterium
Lineage: Bacteria
Description: partial 16S ribosomal RNA
Rfam family: Bacterial small subunit ribosomal RNA
Source: RNAcentral
UACGAACUGUGCGAACGUUAUUCGGAUUCACUGGGCUUAAAGGGUGCGUAGGCGGCCGUUUAAGUAGGGUGUGAAAGCCCCCGGCUCAACCGGGGAAUGGCGCCCUAAACUGGACGGCUGGAGUGAGAUAGGGGUGUGUGGAACUUCCGGUGGAGCGGUGAAAUGUGUUGAUAUCGGAAGGAACGCCGGUGGCGAAAGCGACACACUGGGUCUCGACUGACGCUGAGGCACGAAAGCCAGGGUAGCGAACGGG